Long non-coding RNA from Gorilla gorilla gorilla (western lowland gorilla), 621 nucleotides. RefSeq lists it as uncharacterized. The record is from RefSeq and is a predicted model, not a curated record. The transcript has 3 exons. Lineage: Eukaryota; Metazoa; Chordata; Mammalia; Primates; Hominidae.
UCUCAGGUGACACAGCUGUAAAAUGCUCAGCCUGAUUUCUCCCUUAAAGACUGUUAAAAGGAAUUAAAUGAGACAAUGUGUGGCUCAACACAAUGCCCAAUCAUUUAAAGGCACCCAAAGUAGCCAUUAUGAGAACAGUUACCAUGGCUCUACUAAACUUACUAAAUCUAUAGUCUGUGCCUUCUGGGGCUACACAUAAAUAGCGAAUCGCCUUCUACAGCCUGGGAGUGAAGAAAUCCCACUCGGUACAUAUUAGUAAGUUAAAUGACAAGACGACAGUCAUUGGAGUCAGCAAACCUAAAGAGAAAACCAGAUGGUGAGGGACAGGACAGGGACAAGUGGAACAAGGAUAAACUUCAAGAUAAAGCUAAUGGAGUCUUCCUCUGUCACCCAGGCUGGAGUGCAGCCGCACGAUCUCCGCUUACUGCAAGCUCCGCCUCCCGGGUUCACGCCAUUCUCCUGCCUCAGCCUCCCGAGUAGAUGGGACUACAGGUGCCUGCCACCGCGCCCGGCUAAUUUUUUUAUUUUUAGUAGAGACGUGGUUUCACCGUGGUCUCGAUCUCCUGACCUCGUGAUCCGCCCGCUUCUGCCUCCCAAAGUGCUGGGAUUACAGGCGUAAGC